GUGAAUCAUCGAAUUUUUGAACACAAACUGCGCUUCCUGGCAUCCCGGGAAGUAUGCCUGUUUGAGGGUCAGUAUUAAUAAAAAACCGGUUUAGUUACAAAUUGUGACGUUUCGGGAGUUUGGGCUAUCUUAACAUUUUGGUUUAAGAGGCUUAAAAUUGACCUUUUUGGCGAAUUUAAAAACGUACAUAAUUUUUUUUUAUUGUUCUAUUCUUAUGGCAAAAAUCUUAUUAAAUGCGAU
This 240-nucleotide unclassified non-coding RNA is filed under the name Glomeraceae sp. RNAcentral describes it as "partial contains 5.8S ribosomal RNA and internal transcribed spacer 2". The stretch from base 1 to 71 matches the Rfam family "5.8S ribosomal RNA", at positions 84 to 154 of the family's 154-position model. The record is from RNAcentral. Lineage: Eukaryota; Fungi; Glomeromycota; Glomeromycetes; Glomerales; Glomeraceae.